This 496-nucleotide ribosomal RNA is filed under the name uncultured bacterium. Its description in RNAcentral is "partial 16S ribosomal RNA". It matches the Rfam family "Bacterial small subunit ribosomal RNA", at positions 28 to 506 of the family's 1533-position model. The record is from RNAcentral.
GACGAACGCUGGCGGCGUGCCUAAUACAUGCAAGUUGAGCGCUGAAGGCUGGUACUUGUACCAACUGGAUGAGCAGCGAACGGGUGAGUAACGCGUGGGGAAUCUGCCUUUGAGCGGGGGGCAACAUUUGGAAACGAAUGCUAAUACCGCAUAAAAACUUUAAACACAAGUUUUACGUUUGAAAGAUGCAAUUGCAUCACUCAAAGAUGAUCCCGCGUUGUAUUAGCUAGUUGGUGAGGUAAAGGCACACCAAGGCGAUGAUACAUAGCCGACCUGAGAGGGUGAUCGGCCACAUUGGGACUGAGACACGGCCCAAACUCCUACGGGAGGCAGCAGUAGGGAAUCUUCGGCAAUGGACGAAAGUCUGACCGAGCAACGCCGCGUGAGUGAAGAAGGUUUUCGGAUCGUAAAACUCUGUUGGUAGAGAAGAACGUUGGUGAGAGUGGAAAGCUCAUCAAGUGACGGGAACGACCCAGAAAGGGACGGCUAACUACGU